CCUACGGGUGGCAGCAGUAGGGAAUAUUCCACAAUGAGCGAAAGCUGGAUGGAGCGACACAGCGGGCACGAUGAAGGUCUUCGGAUUGUAACGUGCUGUGAUAAGGGAAGAACAUUUGCAAUAGGAAAUGAUUGCAGACUGACGGUACCUUGUCAGAAAGCGAUGGCUAACUAUGUGCCAGCAGCCGCGGUAAAACAUAGGUAGCAAGCGUUAUCCGGAAUUAUUGGGCGGAAAGCGUUCGUAGGCGGUUUGUUAAGUCUGGGGUAAAAUGCCGGGGCUAAACCCGGGCUCGCCUUUGAUACUGGGGAUCUUGAGUGGGAGAGAAGUAUGCGGAAUGCGAGGUGUAGCGGUGAAAUGCAUAGAUAUCAGGAAGAACUCCGAUUGCGAAGGCAGCAUACCGGGGCUCGACUGACGCUGAGGGACGAAAGCGUGGGGAGCGAACAGGAUUAGAUACCCUGGUAGUC
Molecule: ribosomal RNA, 464 nt
Filed under: uncultured bacterium
Lineage: Bacteria
Description: partial 16S ribosomal RNA
Rfam family: Bacterial small subunit ribosomal RNA
Source: RNAcentral